Molecule: ribosomal RNA, 428 nt
Filed under: uncultured prokaryote
Description: bacterial SSU rRNA
Rfam family: Bacterial small subunit ribosomal RNA
Source: RNAcentral
UCGAGAAUCUUUCGCAAUGGGGGAAACCCUGACGACGCGACGCCGCGUGGAGGAUGAAGGCCUUCGGGUUGUAAACUCCUGUCAGCAGGGGAGAACAAGCUUUUGAUGAAUAAUUGAGAGCUUUGACAGUACCUGCAGAGGAAGCCACGGCUAACUCUGUGCCAGCAGCCGCGGUAAUACAGAGGUGGCAAGCGUUGUUCGGAUUUAUUGGGCGGAAAGGGUCCGUAGGCGGCCUGAAAAGUUGGAUGUGAAAUCCCACAGCUUAACUGUGGAACUGCAUUCAAAACGCUCAGGCUCGAGUGUGAUAGGGGUAAUGGGAAUUCCCGGUGUAAGGGUGAAAUCUGCAGAGAUCGGGAGGAACACCAGUCGCGAAGGCGCAUUACUGGAUCACUACUGACGCUGAGGGACGAAAGCCAGGGGAGCAAACG